GGAUUUCCUGGUUUGGCGCUGCCGUGUCCUGCUUCGGUGAGCCAAGGGCCUGCCACGGAGCUGUACCUGCUGAGACAACACACAGGACAGGAAAAAAAUCAUUUAAUUGGACCCAGCUCUGCCAGGACCUUUGGUUUUGAUCCGUUGGGGAAGUUUCUUUGGAGUUAGCAACUGCAGGGUGUAUCAAGGGAGAGCACUUCCUUUGGCUCUUUCUCUGGUUUGUCACUUCCUUUCUGGUUUAAAUUAAUUUUGUGUGCUCCUGUUAGGGAAACAGCAUGUUUUUACCUUCAGGUAUGGGGUGGUUUUAUUUGUUUAGGUUACUUUUUCCCCCCCCACUGAAUCAGGCCUUGCACAAAUAGUCUGUGUUGUUGUACACGCUUUGCUUACGGGUCAGAGAAGGAAGUGAAAUUGCAUUUUAUUGUCUUAUAUUUCCCCACACAUAAAGGGGGAUGUUGUCCUGCCACUCCCCAAACCACUCCAGCCAGAGCUGGCAGGGUUGCAAUGGAAUUCAAGGUAAACCCAGGGAGUCAGUAGGGAACAGACAGGGGAAAUUUUGGGGGGGUAAAACUUGAAAUAACCUUUAGGGCAGAGAAUGAACGAUUCUGAGGUAAAAAUGAAGUAAUCAAUAGUGGACAGAUAGGGAGAAUACUGUGAGUGAAUCUUUAGUUAAUCUGUAAGGGGAAGAAUGAACAUUUUGAGGUAAACAGAUGGAAUCAGCAGUGGACAGACAGGAAAUUUUAGGGGUAAAAUUGAGGUGAUGUGUAGAGGAGAGAAAACAGCAUUUGGAGGUAAAUAUGAGGUUAAAAGUUCUGGACAGGUAGGGAAAUCUGUAGGGAAAAUUUCAGGGGAAAUCCCGAGGUAAUCUGCAGUGGAUAGAAUGAAUAAUUGGGAUAGGAUAGAGGUAAUUAACAGAUUAACAAUUUGAGGGUAAAACAUGAGGUAAUUUGUAAUGGGCUGAAUGAACAUUUUGAGGUGAAAAGGAGGUUGUCAGUGGUAAACGCGUCAGGAUAAUUUUGUGAUGAAACUUGGGCUGCUCUGUGAAGUACAAUUAAUAUUUUGGGGGGGAAAUGUCAGGCCACCAGUCCUUUUGGCAAGCUGAAAUCUGGAGAGGGAAUUGGAGGCUGUGUCACACGGAUAUCGGAGCUGCUCAACUGCUGUAGAGAAAUUGUUGAUCUUAUCCUUUUAAAAAGGGUUUUUAUCACAGGUCUCUCAUUUCUCAAUGGUCACCGAAGUUCCAUGUGCAAUUCUGCUCCCCUGUAAGAAGUCUCCAGGAUGGAGCCCUUUAAUGCUGUGAGGGGAUCGGGGCCCCAAAGAUCCAACUCUGGCACUAUCCUGGGGGUCCCUGGGGGGAAGUGAGGGUGGCACUGGCCAUCAGCAGAGGGCUCAGGCGUGACAAUAAAACAAACCUUGGCCACCCCGAGGCUUUUGGCAUUUUUUGUUUCCUCUUUUUUUAGCCAUUUCCAUCCCAGGCAGGACCUUCCCCGACUGGAAAUAAAGAUUAAAUAUUUCAACGGGGUUUUUAAAAGCGGCAGUUUUGCCACUGGAGACCGAGACGCGCGGGGACAUUGAGGGAGGGGAUGGGAUCUCAGCUGGCAGCUGAGCUGCUCCUUACCGGGGGCAGGGAACAGCUGCUGUGGAAACUCCCGGGCCCGGCGGGGUCCCGGGCCCGAUCCGGAACCGAUGCCGAUCUCGGUACCGAUCCCAAUCCGGAACCGAUCCCGGUACAGACACGGAUCCUAGCCCGAUACGGCCCCGAGCCUCCCGACGGGGGAGAGGAAACACAGCCCGGGAACCCCCGGCAGACCCCGGCAGGGGGCGAGCGCCCCAUCCCGGCUCCGGCUGGGAGCUCCAGCAGCCGCUUGCGGCCCGCCUCGUCCCGCCAGCGGAGCGGGAGGGCAUCGAGGCCAGGCUGGGCCGUGCCCGGUGCCAGCCCGGUCCCAACCCCGAUCCGGCCGGGACCCGCAGCCCGCGGGGGAGAGGCGGCAGCGCCCCGCGAGCGGGCACGGGCAGCGCUCGGUCCCACAGCCCCGGCCCCGCUCCCGCC
Molecule: long non-coding RNA, 2044 nt
Organism: Passer montanus (Eurasian tree sparrow)
Lineage: Eukaryota; Metazoa; Chordata; Aves; Passeriformes; Passeridae
Exons: 3
Source: RefSeq, a predicted model, not a curated record